AUCUGAUAUGAGGAUGGAAACCCCUGCUUGUUUACAUGGUCCAUGUGAGUGUUAUAAAGAAUUCAAUCCAUGAUGGUUUAUAGCACCAAUCUCAAGAUUCAAUUUGAGACUAAUCGCCUUCUUCCACUGCCGGUUGGAGCUGAGGCCUGGAAGAUUUGGGGCACAAGUGUCAAAACUGAUUUUUCACUCUUCCUGCAAUCUGCCAGGUGGGAAUAGAGAAGGUGGUGGAAGCACUUUGACCUUGGAGGACCCAAACUGAUGUACAACCUUAAGCACAAUCAUCUGUAAAAACAAAAACAAACAACAACAACAAAAAGAAAAACACCCCCAAGCAUUGAACUAAGUAUCAUUGGUUUAUAUUUAUUUGCAGUUUUCUCAGCUGCCAACAUUUGCCAACAGGGCCACUUUCUUCCUAAAAAUAAAAUAAAAAUAGACAAAGGGAAGCAACCUUCAGGAUCUCAGUGGAACUCACUUAACUGAUUCUUCUAGAGGAGCUGGCCUGUAUGCCCUGCAGAGUGCCGAAGUCUGACAUCGUGUCCAGGGGGGAGCUUCAGAUUCCAUAGGCCCUUGGAGUUUGGCUUAGAAAAUGGGCCUUUAAAAGUCAAGCAGAAAGAGAGGGAGCCCUGACUCCUAGGGUGGGGUGCUGGCCUCCCUGGCAGGAAGUGUUCUGAGGUGCUGACAAUGAGGAAACAGGCCGUGUUUUUUGUUUAUUUUCUCAUAAAGUGCUGAUGAACAGACGAGGGAGUCGCAUUAAGGGGCUCUGAAGGCAAGCUGUGAAAAGAGAUUGGGGUUUUAUCAGCUUUUUAGCCUGGUUUCCUUUGGAAAGAAUGCUUCUGACAUGGCCGGGCCCUGCGUGUCCACCCCCUCAUCCCCUGACCCCUCCUUGUCCUUGUGCUCUUUGAUAACUCAGAAUGCCUCAAAAACGAAGUCAACCUUUUUGGAAGCUGAGGCGACAGUGGGGGGUCACAGGCUCGUCCAUAAUAAAAGCAAAUGAAUGAGAGAGAAAGCGAAUUUUCCCACCAUAAA
Molecule: non-coding RNA, 1026 nt
Organism: Ictidomys tridecemlineatus (thirteen-lined ground squirrel)
Lineage: Eukaryota; Metazoa; Chordata; Mammalia; Rodentia; Sciuridae
Source: RefSeq, a predicted model, not a curated record